CACAUUCCACGUGAUCCGUGUCGCAGCUAACGCAUUAAGCGCCCCGCCUGGGGAGUACGGCCGCAAGGCUAAAACUCAAAGGAAUUGACGGGGGCCCGCACAAGCGGCGGAGCAUGCGGAUUAAUUCGAUGCAACGCGAAGAACCUUACCAAGGCUUGACAUAUACAGGAAAACUGCAGAAAUGUAGUCCCCGCAAGGUCUGUAUACAGGUGGUGCAUGGUUGUCGUCAGCUCGUGUCGUGAGAUGUUGGGUUAAGUCCCGCAACGAGCGCAACCCUCGUCCUAUGUUGCCAGCACGUUAUGGUGGGAACUCAUGGGAGACUGCCGGGGCCAACUCGGAGGAAGGUGGGGAUGACGUCAAAUCAUCAUGCCCCUUAUGUCUUGGGCUUCACGCAUGCUACAAUGGCCGGUACAAAGGGCUGCAAUACCGUAAGGUGGAGCGAAUCCCAAAAAGCCGGUCUCAGUUCGGAUUGAGGUCUGCAACUCGACCUCAUGAAGUCGGAGUCGCUAGUAAUCGCAGAUCAGCAACGCUGCGGUGAAUACGUUCCCGGGGCCUGUACACACCGCCCGUCAAGUCACGAAAGUCGGUAACACCCGAAGACGGUGGCCUAACCGUAAGGAAGGAACCGUCUAA
Molecule: ribosomal RNA, 633 nt
Filed under: uncultured Actinomycetes bacterium
Lineage: Bacteria; Bacillati; Actinomycetota; Actinomycetes
Description: bacterial SSU rRNA
Rfam family: Bacterial small subunit ribosomal RNA
Source: RNAcentral